Molecule: ribosomal RNA, 814 nt
Filed under: uncultured Pseudomonadota bacterium
Lineage: Bacteria; Pseudomonadati; Pseudomonadota
Description: bacterial SSU rRNA
Rfam family: Bacterial small subunit ribosomal RNA
Source: RNAcentral
CAAGUCGAACGCGAAAGAAGCCUUCGGGUUUCAAGUAGAGUGGCGUCCGGGUGAGUAACACGUAGGUAAUCUACCUUCGGGUGGGGAAUAACGCAGGGAAACUUGCGCUAAUACCGCAUAAUGCAGCGGCACCACAUGGUGACAGUUGUUAAAGCGGGGGCUUCUCGGACCUCGCGCCUGAAGAGGAGCCUGCGGCAGAUUAGCUAGUUGGUAGGGUAACGGCUUACCAAGGCGACGAUCUGUAACCGGCCUGAGAGGGCGGUCGGUCACACUGACACUGACAUACGGGUCAGACUCCUACGGGAGGCAGCAGUCGGGAAUUUUGGGCAAUGGGCGAAAGCCUGACCCAGCAACGCCGCGUGAAGGAUGAAAUCCUUCGGGAUGUAAACUUCGCAAGAAUGGGAAGAAUGAGCGAGUACUAAUACUGCUCGUGAUGACGGUACCAUUUGUAAGCUCCGGCUAACUCCGUGCCAGCAGCCGCGGUAAUACGGGGGGAGCAAGCGUUGUUCGGAUUUACUGGGCGUAAAGGGCGCGUAGGCGGCCAGCGCAAGUCAGUUGUGAAAUCUCCGGGCUUAACUCGGAAAGGUCAACUGAUACUGCGCGGCUAGAGUGCAGAAGGGGCAACUGGAAUUCUCGGUGUAGCGGUGAAAUGCGUAGAUAUCGAGAGGAACACCUGCGGCGAAGGCGGGUUGCUGGGCUGACACUGACGCUGAUGCGCGAAAGCCAGGGGAGCGAACGGGAUUAGAUACCCCGGUAGUCCUGGCCUUAAACGAUGGAUGCUUGGUGUUUGGAGUUUUAUAGUCUCCGGGGUGCC